CGGACGAACGCUGGCGGCGUGCCUAACACAUGCAAGUCGAGCGGAGAUACAUUGAAGAUUUAUCGGAUAUGUAUCUUAGCGGCGGACGGGUGAGUAACGCGUGGGUAACCUGCCUUAUACAGGGGGAUAACACAGGGAAACUUGUGCUAAUACCGCAUAAUAUCAUUGUAUGGCAUCAUGUGGUGAUCAAAGGAGCAAUCCGGUAUAAGAUGGACCCGCGUCCAAUUAGCUAGUUGGUGGUGUAACGGACCACCAAGGCGACGAUUGGUAGCCGAACUGAGAGGUUGAUCGGCCACAUUGGGACUGAGACACGGCCCAGACUCCUACGGGAGGCAGCAGUUGGGAAUCUUAGGCAAUGGACGAAAGUCUGACCUAGCGACGCCGCGUGAGGGAAGAAGGCCUUCGGGUUGUAAACCUCUGUCAUAUGGGAAGAAGGAAUGACAGUACCAUAUGAGGAAGCUCCGGCUAACUACGUG
This 476-nucleotide ribosomal RNA is filed under the name uncultured bacterium. RNAcentral describes it as "bacterial SSU rRNA". It matches the Rfam family "Bacterial small subunit ribosomal RNA", at positions 27 to 507 of the family's 1533-position model. The record is from RNAcentral.